Molecule: transfer RNA, 77 nt
Filed under: Gammaproteobacteria bacterium
Lineage: Bacteria; Pseudomonadati; Pseudomonadota; Gammaproteobacteria
Also listed under: 1 other name
Description: tRNA-Arg
Rfam family: tRNA
About the family: Transfer RNA (tRNA) molecules are approximately 80 nucleotides in length. Their secondary structure includes four short double-helical elements and three loops (D, anti-codon, and T loops).
Source: RNAcentral
GCCCUGGUGGCACAACUGGAUAGCGCGUCCCCCUCCUAAGGGGAAGGUUGCAGGUUCGAUUCCUGCUCAGGGCACCA